CAGAGUUUCCAACUGCAAGUUCAAAACCCUUCCAAAUUAAAGAAAAUAACUGUGCAUGAUAUGCAUCAAUUCAAGGGUUUAAAAGGUAUGUUCUCACCUCAGAUAUCCCAAUGCUUAGAAGAACUCAUAAUAAUGAACUUCAAUAACCUAGAGGAGAUUCUUUUUGAUGAAAACCAAGCAGUAGUCCAAGAUGAUCAACCCCAAUUUUUAGCCCUCAAAACACUCACAGUAAUGAAUUGUGACUCUAGUGCGAGAUGUCCUAUUUCAUCUCUAUCAGCUCGAAGUUUGCCAAAACUGGAGUACAUUGAUUUAUCUGAUUCCCAUGGAUUGAGAAACGUCUUCCCUGCAUCCCUUACUCGGAAUGUUCCUCAAUUGAAGAAACUUGAUGUGAGAAAUUGCAAAUCCAUGCAAGAAAUAGUUGCAAAAGAGGAUGACGAAGAAGGCGUUGAUAAGAUAACAUUUUCCCAGCUCACGCAUUUAAACCUUGCCGGGUUGCAAUGCCUCGUAAGUAUCUGUGGAUGUGGUGUUUUGUCUGAUUGGCCUUUGUUGGAAGAAGUAUCUGUGCUCGAUUGUCCAAAUUUAUAGCAUCUUCCUUUCCGACAUCAAAAUGCUCCCAAGAUCAAUAAAAUUGAAAUUGUCAAUCGGAAGCAGACACUCAAGGAAUUACAUGAGUCUUUCUCGGAAGAGGUCAAAGAGUUCGGAAAAGUAAUUCAUCUGUAUGGAAGAGACAAUAUGAACAAUGGUUGAAACACAUGUAGGGUUCACCCAAAUGAUAAUAAAGAUAUGUCCAUGAGGAUGACCAUGUGAGGCGAAAUGACGAGGAAACAUGCAAGUAUUAGUUCCAUCAUCCGUGGCCUCAACAUCCAAUUAAACACAUGGUAUCUCAACUGAUCGAGCAACUGGAAUAUUGAGAAGGAUAACGCAUUAUAUAUCUGUUUCUUUCCAUAUUAUGUAUUGUUGUGUCAGUCCUCUGGUUAGUUGUGUGGAGGGUUCUUUUGCUUUUACAUUAUGUGUUAGUUCUCCAGUUGAUUGGUAUUGGUAUGGAGGGUGAUUUCAAUUUUUUUUUUUUUUUGAUUCAAGGUUGAUUGUGUGUGUCUUAUUAUCAUUUUUCCCACAGGUUGAUUGUGUUGUUCAGUCGUAUAAGUUAAUACUUUAAAUUAUGUUUUCAUACCUAAUAAGGGUCAUUUACAUUGGCCAUACCUUUAUUUAUUUAUGUAAUUAUUUUGGCUUCACCACCAUUUUAUAGCUUUAUUGUUGUGU
Non-coding RNA from Nelumbo nucifera (sacred lotus), 1260 nucleotides. NCBI's taxonomy places the organism in Eukaryota, Viridiplantae, Streptophyta, Magnoliopsida, Proteales, Nelumbonaceae. The record is from RefSeq and is a predicted model, not a curated record.